This 510-nucleotide ribosomal RNA is filed under the name uncultured bacterium. RNAcentral describes it as "bacterial SSU rRNA". It matches the Rfam family "Bacterial small subunit ribosomal RNA", at positions 32 to 524 of the family's 1533-position model. The record is from RNAcentral.
AAUCAACGCUGGCGGCGUGCCUAACACAUGCAAGUCGAACGCGAAAGCCCCGCAAGGGCAAGUAGAGUGGCAAACGGGUGAGUAACACGUGGGUGACCUGCCUUCGAGCGGGGAUAACGUCCCGAAAGGGACGCUAAUACCGCAUAACAUCCUGCCUUUGAAGAGGUGGAGAUCAAAGCUGGGGAUCGCAAGACCCGGCACUUGAAGAGGGGCCCGCGUCUGAUUAGCUAGNGGUGGGGUAAUGGCCUACCAAGGCAACGAUCAGUAUCCGGCCUGAGAGGGCGGACGGACACACUGGGACUGAGACACGGCCCAGACUCCUACGGGAGGCGGCAGUGGGGAAUUGUUCGCAAUGGGCGCAAGCCUGACGACGCAACGCCGCGUGGAGGAUGAAGAUUUUCGGAUCGUAAACUCCUGUCGAAUGGGACGAACAGAUUACGGUUAACAGCCUGUAGUCCUGACGGUACCGUUAAAGGAACCCGCUAACUCCGUGCCAGCAGCCGCCGUAAU